AUUUGAAUAGUUUAAGUAAAACGUUGGUUUGUGGUGCCAAAAAUAUAAUGAUAUUAUUUUAAAUC
This 65-nucleotide transfer RNA is filed under the name Grimothea gregaria. RNAcentral describes it as "Munida gregaria tRNA-His". It matches the Rfam family "tRNA". From Rfam's summary of the family: Transfer RNA (tRNA) molecules are approximately 80 nucleotides in length. Their secondary structure includes four short double-helical elements and three loops (D, anti-codon, and T loops). Further hydrogen bonds mediate the characteristic L-shaped molecular structure. tRNAs have two regions of fundamental functional importance: the anti-codon, which is responsible for specific mRNA codon recognition, and the 3' end, to which the tRNAs corresponding amino acid is attached (by aminoacyl-tRNA synthetases). tRNAs cope with the degeneracy of the genetic code in two manners: having more than one tRNA (with a specific anti-codon) for a particular amino acid; and 'wobble' base-pairing, i.e. permitting non-standard base-pairing at the 3rd anti-codon position. The record is from RNAcentral. Lineage: Eukaryota; Metazoa; Arthropoda; Malacostraca; Decapoda; Munididae.